AAGGCCUUCGGGUUGUAAACCUCUUUCAGCAGGGAAGAAGCGCAAGUGACGGUACCUGCAGAAGAAGCGCCGGCUAACUACGUGCCAGCAGCCGCGGUAAUACGUAGGGCGCAAGCGUUGUCCGGAAUUAUUGGGCGUAAAGAGCUCGUAGGCGGUUUGUCGCGUCUGGUGUGAAAACUCAAGGCUCAACCUUGAGCUUGCAUCGGGUACGGGCAGACUAGAGUGCGGUAGGGGUGACUGGAAUUCCUGGUGUAGCGGUGGAAUGCGCAGAUAUCAGGAGGAACACCGAUGGCGAAGGCAGGUCACUGGGCCGCAACUGACGCUGAGGAGCGAAAGCAUGGGGAGCGAACAGGAUUAGAUACCCUGGUAGUCCAUGCCGUAAACGUUGGGCACUAGGUGUGGGGCUCAUUCCACGAGUUCCGUGCCGCAGCAAACGCAUUAAGUGCCCCGCCUGGGGAGUACGGCCGCAAGGCUAAAACUCAAAGGAAUUGACGGGGGCCCGCACAAGCGGCGGAGCAUGCGGAUUAAUUCGAUGCAACGCGAAGAACCUUACCAAGGCUUGACAUACACCGGAAACUUCCAGAGAUGGUUGCCCCGCAAGGUCGGUGUACAGGUGGUGCAUGGUUGUCGUCAGCUCGUGUCGUGAGAUGUUGGGUUAAGUCCCGCAACGAGCGCAACCCUCGUCUUAUGUUGCCAGCACGUCAUGGUGGGGACUCAUAAGAGACUGCCGGGGUCAACUCGGAGGAAGGUGGGGAUGACGUCAAAUCAUCAUGCCCCUUAUGUCUUGGGCUUCACGCAUGCUACAAUGGCCGGUACAAAGGG
Molecule: ribosomal RNA, 822 nt
Filed under: Cellulomonas sp. AP38ly
Lineage: Bacteria; Bacillati; Actinomycetota; Actinomycetes; Micrococcales; Cellulomonadaceae
Description: bacterial SSU rRNA
Rfam family: Bacterial small subunit ribosomal RNA
Source: RNAcentral